UACAAGCUCAUUCGGAAACUGGUUCUAUCGUCUAGUUCAAAGUAUAUAAAGUACUUAAGGAGUGUUCUUUCAGCAUCCUCAUCCGAAAGUUGGAUUGCCUCGCCCGAUUUAUUAGGUGGCUGACUGCGUGUGAAUUCCCCCACAUCAGUUGUGAAACGAACCUAUAAGAAAAAUUAUAUUGAAUUAGUAUUUCAAAAUUUAUAUAAAAGUAAAUCAAAAUACUUAAUGAAAAGUAAAAAACAUACAUGUAUAGUCGAUGCUCGAUCCUUGACCCACCUUUCUGAAUUAGUCUCUUUCUUCUUCUUUACAAUAUGAGUUCUAUUGAAUAGCUCAUGAUAUUGCUUCAUUUGCAUCAUAAAGUUGUCUGGUGGCUUUGGUGAUUAUUCUCGUGGUACUAUUACUCGGGAUGAACUUGAAUAUAGAGAAUAACUUGGAUAUAGUACCUGACAAGGUGUGCAUUUGAUCAAUUAUUCUUCUCAUUUGCGGCAAUGAUGAUGAGAAUGCAAUGGCAUAUAUUUCAUAUAGUGAUGGUGUAGGUAGGAUUUAACAUUUCCUAAGUAGAUAAAAGAGGUUAUAUGUAACACCCCGUAAAUUCGCUUAGGUGUGAAUGUGGUAAAUGAGUGGUAAGGUUAUAUCUUGAACAUGUGAAGUCCCAACGGGAUGAUUGUGGGUAAAAUGGUUGUUCCAAAAAUCAAGAUGAAAAGAGAGGUGCAUAACAUUUGACAAAAUCAACUAAGUUGUAGAAGGUCUGUCUUCCAUCACGUUUUAGUGAAAAUAUGCAAGGAAUUUGGGAAAACACAAAGUAUUAAACUUGUAGGCCUUUGAAAUAGCUUUCCGACGAUAUAUUAUGGAGCCCUAACGGAUCUCUGUGCAAAAUGUAAAGUGUGUUUUUCGGAACAGUACGCGCAUGCGCGAACUAUAGCGCGAACAAGCCUCCAGGUGCGCGAACUCGCUAUUGGGAGGCAAUGUUACUCCCGUUGAGCGCGAACUCUAGCGUGAACAAGCCUCCAGGUGCAUGAAAUCGCUAUUGGAGGGUCGUUUUAAAGCUAUAUUUCGUCCCUCACGGCCCCAAAACAUAAAAACUUCCUCUAGAAAGGGGAACUCUCAAAAACCUAACUCCUCAAGAGUCCUUCCACCACCCAAGUUAAGUUCUAAUGAUGAUUCUGAGUUAAUUUUACUUUUCUAACAUCUUAUAAACAUGGGUAAACCCUCCAUAUCAUUAGAUAUUCGAUUGAGACAUCACUGUUGAGAGAAGGAAGCCUAGAACUCAAAAAUCAAAGGUUAUAACUUCGAAAAGGUAAUGUCUUUACCCUUUAAUUGAUUCUAGCAUUGGUUUAAUGAUUAUUAAUCCUAGUUCAUGAGACAUGAGUUGUUGGGGUUGAUAGAAAAGCAUGAACGAUUAUAGGGUUGGGUGUUGAGUAGUGAUUAAUAGUUAAGAGUGUUGUUUGUCUUAUGGGCGAUGAAGAAUAAUAUUGGUGUAAUCAUUUCAGACCUUAGAAUUUAUCUAGGAACAAGAGAAUGGGUUGUUGGGUGUAGAGACACCAUUAAUAAGGACUAUGAAGCUUUAUUUUACCAAGUCUUUGACAAAAUGCUUAAGUGACCAAAACAUAAGCAUUAUAGCUAAUGUGGAAUCCCUUUGACUUGUAUUGCUAUAGAUUAAAGUUGAAAGUAUUGACAAACGUUAUAUUACGCUUAAGAGCAGAAAGUUAACGUAUGUAAGGCUAACUCUCUAUGUUUAGGAAUAUUAUUGAUUCUCCCUAUGUUACGUUUCGUUACGAUCAAUUUCCUUAGAACUAUGGUUAAGCCUAGUUCCUUGAAUAAUUGUAGAACUUCUAUUCUCUAGCUUCGUAACUCGUUCAUGACUUUCAUUCUGAACAUUGUGAGCUCAGUUCAUAUUCAAUAUAGACUUGGGUUUGGUGCCCCUAAGUCCUAGUAUAGCUUACUCAGCACGUCAUAAACAGUUGAAGUUUCAGUGUUCAUAACCAGUUCAAGAAUACAUGUCUCAUUCUAGUCCUAUUUAGUAUUUCAGUAUAAUGUAACUUAGUGUAAUUCAGUAUUCCAGUAUCAUAUAACUCCGUGUGAUUCAAUAUUUCACUAUUAUGUAUAUUUCCGUAUGAUUCUCAGUUACCGAUAUUAAAUCCCUGAAUGUUGGAAACUUAUAUUUGGGCCUGAGGCGCCAACUAAUGCUUUAUGCCUCUUUGGGCCUGACGCCGCAGUUUAUGUUUUAUGCAUUUUUGACCUGAGGUCGCAGUUAUGUAUAUGUAUUCUUGGUCCCGAGGCUGCAGCUUUUAUAUAUAUAUAUAUAUANNNNNNNNNNNNNNNNNNNNNNNNNNNNNNNNNNNNNNNNNNNNNNNNNNNNNNNNNNNNNNNNNNNNNNNNNNNNNNNNNNNNNNNNNNNNNNNNNNNNNNNNNNNNNNNNNNNNNUAUAUAUAUAUAUAUAUAUAUAUAUAUUGAGGCCGUACUUUAGUAUUCAGAUAAAUAGGUUGUUUAUCAUUCAGAAGAGGGAGAAUCAUAUCCGUACUUCCUUAUUUAGUUCAAUUAUAAGAUUAUCGGUUAUCUUUUCAAUUAUAAUUGGUAGUUACCAGCUUAGUUUUAGUUUUAGCAUUUAUAAUCCUUUCUUUCAGUUGCUUUACAUACCAGUACAAUUCAAAUAUACUGACAUCCCUUUUGCCCAGGGCCUACAUCUCACAAUGCAGGUAAUGAUUUACAAGUCGAUGAUUUCAAGUGUUAGGAUUCUCGUACCAGCUAUUUGGCGAUCCUAAUUAUUUCAGGGCAUUAUCAUUACCUUACAAUCUUCAGUAAUUUCAGACAGUCAAUAUUUUCUGUAUUUUAUUAGAGGCUUCAUAGACUAGAGUAAGAGUUAGACAAAGUCAUAGGCUUUUUCAUAUUAAGCUAUGUUGGCUACAAAUAUGUUUCAGAAUUGUAUCAGUAUUUUUGCACUAUGAUCUAUAUCAUCCAGACUUUUAGUAUAUCAAAAUGUGUUAUUUUAUCUUCUGCAUUCAGUAUGCUAUGAUACUACAUGUUGAUUCAGCCAGUCAGUUGGUUCGCUCGGUCACAUGUAGUCAGGCACCGAGUGUCGUAUUACGUCCAGGCCCAGUUCGGGGCGUGACAAAGAUUGGUAUCAGAGCACUAGGUUCAAGAGUCCUAUGGAGUCUAUGAAGCCGUUUCUAGUGCAGUUUCCUUUAUAUGUGUGUGAUGGCCACUCAUAUAAACAGUUAACUACCAAGACAUUCAGGAUUAUCUCACCUUUUUCUAUUCUAGAUCGUGCCAUGAAGCUUAGAUAAAAUAGUUAACUUUCUCUUCCUAUCGAAUUCCAAACGUAUUGAACGCCCAAGUGACGGGAAAGAAAAAUCAAAGGUUUUAUAAAGGAUGAUUUCUUUUUGGGUAUAAUUCUAGAGUACAAGUUAGUAACAAAUGAGACAUCAGAGGAUGUUGGAAGUGGGAUGCAAUGGAUAGUAGUACAGAUUAGAGCAUGACCUUAUCAGAAAGUACAAAAGCAGUUAUCAUAUUUUAUGGUUACCAGUUUAUCUGAGUUACCAGUUAGCGGCCUUUCAGCUAGUAAGUUUAUGGAUAUUCAGGAUGCGAGUUAUCAGCUAUCCAGUUGCCAUAUCUCCAAUUUUCAGUGUAUCAAAAUUCCGGUGAUUGGUAAGUAUACAGUGAUGCCUAUAGGUGCUAAAAGAAAAUGUAAGUAACAAUGAUCAUAGCAAAAUCUUCGCAUGUUUUAGGUACGGAUUAAGACCAAGACUCACCAGAUGGCACACGAAGUGAAUUAUCAGAUGAUGGUAUACUUUGAAGGAUAAGUUUGUGUAUUGUAGUGUAUUUAUAUGUGUUCUACCUCCUAGAAGAACUUCAUUCAAUUUUUGGGAAUGAAGCCACAAGUUGGAUGAUGAUAGUUCUGAUGCCAGACCCUAACAUUGGUCACAAUAGUUUUGGACGGGAAAAAAAUCCUAAGGGUAAAAUACCUAGGAGUCAGAAAUGUUUAUUAUUACCAAAGAUGUGAUUUCGUACAACUCAUGUGAAUGACUAGAAGAUAUGGUGUAUGCAAUGAGAACCAAGAGCAGGCAAUAUUGAUUUUCAAGGAAUGAUUUUAUGUUGUUUAUAUUUAUUCAAAUCAGAACUAGAAGUACCACGUUAGUAAGCUACUAUAAGAAGUAGCUAUUGAUGUAAGAUAAAAGAUAUGGUAGUUCCCCUUAGCUUAUGUUACUAACUGAUUGCCCAGGAUGUUUAUAAUAUGAUAUGAUUUUGUAUAUAGAAAGAUUGGGGUUAGAUAUUCUAAUUUUGCUUAAGGCAGAUGAAUUCUCGAAGUGUGAUCCAUGCACAUAGUUUAUAAAAAAGGGAUAGUAUGCAAUAUAGAACAAGGUCGGAUGGUGAGGGAAGUUAGAAUAAUCUUAUGCUUCACUUUAGUUAUUCAAAGCAGAAGAAGAAAAUAUGAUGCUAGCAAGUGGUUAGUAAAAAGGAUAGUAAGUAAGUUUUGAGUUGAUAUAAUGGUUCGCAAUUUCAGCAGAGCUAGUAGAGGUACAAUUUGAUUCACUUAGCCAGGAUAAUCUAGUGAGUGGAUGACACCUCGAAAUACCAAACACGUUUUAGAACCCAAAGAGUUUAAGUUAAACCUGAAGUACAGUGAUAUUGGAAAAAAACAAUCAGCUAGGCAGUGAGAGAGCAAGCUAUAGAAGAAUAGCAUUUAAGAGUUAUCGAAAGGGGUUUUCUCCAGGAUUAACAGUGUGAGAAGAGUUAAAUCAUUAAUAUUGUGUAUGAUAGUUGUGAAUAUAUUAGCUUUCCGUUACGUGAAUAAUUUAUUUAUUCCUAGCUCAGAAGUAAGUUGGAAAUCAAAGCAUUAUUGAUGUAUAGUGCAAAGAAUUGCAAAAAAUAAGGAAAGUUAUUUUUAUCUCGACAAAAAGAGAAGGAUCUUCAAGUAUAAGACCAUAGCUUUUGAACAAGGGGGAGAUGAUGGUACUUUGAGGUACCAAGACAAAUCGUGUGUUCUAGGCAUAGGUGGACUUAAAGAGGGAAGAUCAUGUUAGAAGCCCAUAAUGCUAGGUAUUCUUUCCAUCCAGGUUCCCCAAAUAUGUAUCAUGACCAAGGAGAUUGAUUGGCUGAACGACAUGAAAAAGAACGUCGCAGACUUUGUGGCCAAUUGUCCCAAGUGUCAGCAAGUGAAAAUCGAGCAGUAGAAAGCCUAGUGUUUUAUCACAUAAUACAUAUAUCUUGAGUGGAGAGGGUAAAUAUGAAAUUUAUAAUAGGAUUAUCUUGCUUAUUUUAAAAGUAUGAUUUGAUUGAAUGAUUAUAAAAUGACUUACCAAUUUAGCACACUUCUUACCAAUAAACACAUCAAAUUCAGUAGAAGGUUAUACCAAGUUGUACAUUCAAGAAAUCGUCUGACGUAUAGGACUUCGUUGUCCGUCAUUUCAGAUUGUGGUGCUUAGUUUCCAAUGAACUUUUAGUAGACCUUUCAGAAAGGACUAGGCGAGUUUUUCAUCCUCAGAAAGAUGGCUAGGUAGAGCGCAUUAUUCAAACAGUUGAGGAUCUGUCCUGAUGUUAAAAGUAAUUUGGAUGAUCACAUACCUCUUAUUGACCUUGCUAACAAUAACCUACCAUUAUAGAAUCAAUAUGGAAUCGUGUGAAGCUCUGUAUAGGUGAAGGUGUAGAUCACCUAUUGGUUUGUUCGAAGAUGGAGAAAUGGAGUAGUUACGACCCAAUUUGGCUUAUCAAACUAUAGAGAAAGUUAGUUGAUUCAAGAGCAUUUGAAGAAAACUCAUGUAACGACCUGGCUGGUCGUCUUUGGAAUUUAUUCUCGAUUUCCCCAUUUUCUGCUUUUCCUAAGUUCAUUUCUGCUAUUUUGGUUUGCCGGGAUGUUCGGUACGGAGUGUUUCGGCAAACUUAGUCCCUAAAUGAGAGCUUAAGUGUUGGAAAAUGGUCCAUAAUCAGAACAGUGUCAAGACGACCUCGGAAUGGAAAACUGACGGUUCCCUUAGCUUCGUUAGGUGAUUUUGGGGUGGGAGCAUGUUCGGAACGUAUUUUGGAUGUCCGAUGCUCAAUUAGGCUAUGAAUGCCGAAAGUUAGAAAUUUGAAGUUCCGGUCCUAUAGUGACUUUUUGGUAGGAAUAGAAUUACGAGAGUUGCAGUGACUUUGUUAGGUGAUUUAGGAUAUGUUUGCAAAUUUUCAGGUCAUUAGGACGUGUUUUGGAUAGGUUUUGAGUCGAAUGAGAGUUUGGCUAAGAUUUGGAGAUUUUAGGUGCAAAUCAUUGAUCAAAUGGUGUUUCCGACGUUGUUUUAGGUGAUAUAAGGAUUGGUGCAAGUCCGAAUGAUGUUAUGGGAUAGGUGUGUAUUUUGCGGCGUAGUUUUAGGUGAUCUAAGGAUUGGUGCAAGUCUGAAUGAUGUUAAUGGAUAGGUUUGUAGGUUUGGUUGAUGUCCCGGGGGCCCCGGGCUUGUUUCGGAUGCUCGACGGAGUGAUUAUUAGAUUUUUGGAAGAAAUAUUUCUGCUGUUUCUGUUGUUUCUGCGUCUGCGGAAGGGAGACAGCGUAAGCGGCUACCGCAUAUGCGACCAUGGGAUCGCGGACGCGGUUUGGGACCACAGAAGCGGAUAGGGAGCCGCAUAAGCGGCAAUCGCGGAAGCGGCGGUUUGUCCGCGGAAGCGGAAACUGAAUUUUAAUUGAAACUGCUGAAGCGGUUUUUGACCGUGAAAGCGGGACCGCAGAAGCGGUUCCUGGAGCCGCAAAAGCGAAAAUCGCUGAAGAGAAAAGGAUUUUAUCCGAGGCUUAAGUUCAUAAGUUGAAAAAUCAAAUUUUAGCUCGGACCAAGGCGAUUUUUGGAGGGUUUGAAGAGGAGACUAUUAGGUAAUGUUUCUAUGAUACUUUCUAGCUUUAAUUCAUCACUUAGUUGUUCAAUUCAUCCAUUAAAUUCAAAUUAAGGUCCAAAAUGGUGGAAAUGGGUGAAAGUUUUUUGGCUAAUUAAUUGGGUUUUUGAGGAAGCAUUUAACCUCCGAUUUGAGAUAUUUUUAUAUGGUUAGACUCGUGAGAGUACGAGAUUUCUAAAAAUGUUAAAAUUAUUCGAUUCCUAGACGUUGGCCUGAGGGGCAUUUUGGUCAUUUUACUUGUUCUCACGCCUUAGCUUUAAUUUUAAUAAUGUAAUCAGUUGCUUUCGAUGCUAAUGUAAUUAGUUUGAACAGAUUUGGGCCAAUCGGAGUCGGAUACUCGUGGCAAAGGCGUUGUUCCUUAGCGGUUUUGUACCAAAUUGAAGUAANNNNNNNNNNNNNNNNNNNNNNNNNNNNNNNNNNNNNNNNNNNNNUGUACCAAAUUGAAGUAAGUGGCUUGUCUAACCUUGUGUGGGGGAUCUCUCCCCUUAGGAUAUAUUAAUUGUUGUUUAAAGGCCUCGUGCACGAGGUGACACGCGUGUACUUGUGCUAAUUGCUGAAAAUUCACCAUACUUGACUUAUUUAGACUGUGUUUCUUUGUCUAUUUAACUGUUAAAAAUGUUAUUCUACUUGCUUAGCUUAGGAAAAAUAUGUUAGUAAUUUAUUUGCUCUAUCUAACUAAAUUGCAAAUAUCUGCCCUCUUUGUGAGCAUGCUAGGCCUAAACCUUUACAUUGUUUCUAUAUUUUGUUUCUUUCUAUUAAAUAUUGACUUGUUGUGAAAUGUGAAGUGUAUACGUUUGGAAAUAUGGGUUCAAUUCCCGGGAGAUCCCCCUAUUAUUGGUAUGUUGGACUACGGGUUAAAUUCCCGGGAGAUCCUCGGAUUCUGGCAUGACGGACUAUGGGUUCAAUUCCCGGAAGAUCCUCUGAUAUUGAUAUAAAGGACUGCGGGUUUAAUUGCCGGAGAUCCUCUGGUACUGGUAUGAAGGACUGGGGGUUCGAUUCGCGGGGAUCCUCGGAUAUUGAUAAGGUGGACUGCGGGUUCGGUUCCCGGGGAUCCUAGGAUAUUGAUAAGGUGGACUGCGGGUUCGAUUCCUGGAGCUCCAUGUGGAGAUCCUGACUGUUGAGUGAAUUUCUUUGUAUUUGUAGUUUGUACUUGUAGCCGCUCUGUUUUUUUACUACGGUCUUGUUAGAUAUUCUGUUUUAUUGUGGCUUUGUGUUCAUAGUUGUACUUGUAGUCGCUCUGUAUUUUUUAUUACGGUCUUGUUAGAUAUUUGGUUUUAUUGAGUUAUCUUCUGUUAUUUAUUUUUACAUUAUUUUUUUAUAUUCCUCUCAGUAGGGCCUUGACCUUUCUCGUCACUACUCAAUCGAGGUUAGGCUUGGAAGUUACUGAGUACCGCUGUGGUGUACUCAUGCUACUCUUCUGUACACUUUUGUUCUGCAGAUCCAGGUACAUCUGGUCAGGCGCGCUAUUAGGGAUUUGGAGUUGUUUUGGAGGCUUGAGGUAUGCAUCUGCCACAUCCGCAUAGCCGACGAGCCUUCCUCUAUUCUACCUGUAGUUUAUAGCUUUCUUUCGCAUUCUCAUUUGAUUUCGAUACUUCGGGAUGUUAGAGCACUGUAGUAUGUUUACUCUUAGUCUAUGUUGCCUGUGAGUUUUUGGGUCUUGGAGGUUUUUAUGUUAUAUUGAGUUGACAUGUAUGUGCCAGGCGGCACUCUAUACAUUAUCUUAUGUCAUUUAUGUUUUAAACUAUUGUUUCCGUAAAGACUGUCGAAUUUCCGCAAUGUGUCAGGCUUACGUAGUCGCGAAGAAUGGGUCCCGUCAUGACUGGUUCACGACUGGUGAACUAUGGUUGUGACAACUCAGAGCUGCCAAAAGUCAUAUUCGAGCGUGCGAAAUAGAGACCUAGAGUAUCAAGUUGAUGAUUGGGCGUUUUUUUUUAAAGUAUCGCCCAUGAAAGGCGUUAUGAGAUUUGGGAAGAAGGGGAAACUUAUUCCCCACUAUAUUGGUCCAUAUAGAAUCAUGAGAAGGAUCAGACAUGUAGCUUAUGAGUUGGAAUUGCCAUUAGAACUAGCUGCCGUACACCUAGUGUUCCAUGUGUCCAGGUUGAAGAAAUUCUUGGGACACCCGUCACUUGUGGUUCCUAUAGAGGCUAUAGGGGUUAAAUAAAGUCUAUCUUAUGAAGAAAUUCCAGUAGCUAUUCUUGAUCGUCAAAUUCGCAAGCUCAGAACUAAGGAAAUUGCUUCAGUAAAAGUGCUUUGGAGGAAUCAAAAGAUUGAAAAGGCUACAUGGGAAGCCGAGGAGGACGUGAAGUCCAGAUAUCCCCUUGGCUUUGAAGGGCAAAAGGAAAAUGUGGAAGGUAAUUGACCUUUCCAUUCAAUUCUUACAGGAUAAUAUCCAUGUUCUUCGGUAUUUACUCAGCUUAGUAUUUAGUGAUUAUAUGCUCAUUCAGUUGGUAUAUAUAUAUACAUAUAUAUAUAACGAACUUGUUAAAGCAAGUACAAACUUUGAGUCAAAAUUAGUAAGUCCCGGUUGAACUCGUUAAAAAUAAAGCAAAUACAAAUUUCGUUUGAGCUUUGAAUAUGAAAACCUAACGGAAAAAGCAUUUGUCUUCUUAACUAGCUUUGCCGACAUGCUUCACUGAGCUUGAGAUAUUAAAAUGCUUAAAAGGAAAAAAGAAAAAACGAAUUGCUUGUCGUGUUAUGAAGUUAUUUAAUAGUAUUAACUUUACGAUGCAUAUAAUUUUAUUCAUUAUGUUAAGUCUCCAUUCUCAUGAUACCUAAAUAAUACCUUAAUGAUUCAAAUUCCUCAAAUCUAUAUCUAUCUAUAUAUAAAUAUAAAUAUAAAGCUGGGCAUUAAGAAUCUGAUGUGGCGCUCUCACAAUUUAGGAUUCUGAUUUAUCUAAUUUCUCAAAUUUUUUGGCUUUUCACUAUUUUUUAAUUGUUGUAAUACAUUAAAAAAAUCCAAAAGGUACAUCAUUUAAGGAAAGAUGAAACGGUUCAUUUUUAAUAGGGGUAUACAAACAAAACCGAUAAACCGCACCAACCCGAUAAUCCGAGUCAAACCGAGAAAAAAAACCCGACUAUANNNNNNNNNNNNNNNNNNNNNNNNNNNNNNNNNNNNNNNNNNNNNNNNNNNNNNNNNNNNNNNNNNNNNNNNNNNNNNNNNNNNNNNNNNNNNNNNNNNNNNNNNNNNNNNNNNNNNNNNNNNNNNNNNNNNNNNNNNNNNNNNNNNNNNNNNNNNNNNNNNNNNNNNNNNNNNNNNNNNNNNNNNNNNNNNNNNNNNNUAAAUAUUUCUUAAAAAAUUUCAUAAUUUUAUCUUUUAAGGUAUUAUUUCAAGGUUUGAUUUAAAACUUUUGAAUGCUCCAAUAAGUUUUAUAGCCAUUUAGUAAAUUAAAUAAUGCUAGCAAUCAAUACUAAUGCUAACAAAAGACAUUCAAUUCAAUAUUACGAAAUGUCUAUUUUUUAUUUUACAAUAAUUUAGAUCAAAAUACAUAAUAUUUUUUUAUUUUUCUUUAGCCUUUAGGCAUAUAAUUAAAACUCCCUCAUUAGUCUAUCUAGUUUAGCAUGAAUUAGUGCUUUUAGAUUAUGUUUAAUUUUGUUAUGACUUUUUAAUUAGCAAUAUUUAUAGUACAUAAUUUUAUUACUUUUUAUUGUUGAAUAUUGGAUAAUGUCAUGAGUCAUGACAUAUCUCAUAUUUUGUAUUAUUUUCUUGAAAAAUACUUUGUAUAAGUUGUAUCUUACUAGGAUUAAAGAAAUAUUUUGAGCAUACGUUAUAUAUUUUGUUCUACGAAGAUUUUACCGGAAAAAAAAUCGAAAAAACCCGAAUAACCCGAAAAAACCCGAGAAAAACCGAUAUCAAAAAACCCGAAUUUAUUGGUUUGGUUUGGUCUUUAAAUUUAAUAAACCGACACAAUUGAUUUGGUUUGGUAAUUGUAAAAUCGGAAUCAACCCGAUCUAUGUACACCCCUAAUUUUUAAUGCAUUUACCAAAGAGUCCAUGACAACAGUUACUGUUGAACGGCCCUUGCAAUCCUUAAUGUUACUUUUCCAUCUCGUACCUUCCUGCAUUCCAUGUGUGAGGCUUUUUCAAAAUAUAUUUGUUCAUACUUUGACAAAGCUAAGUAUUUUAUUAUAUGCUUUCCACUAGGAAUUGACUGAAAGACAUUAUUUUCUAUGAAUUGUGAAUUAUAAAGCAUUUCAAUAUACCAUAUUCCAAGCAAUUCUCAAGGUAAGCAAAUAUGUUCUGUUUAUUUGUGUUUUUUUUUUCAAAUUUGUGAGAUUCUUUUUCUCAUAAAACCUUGAAUAUGUAUGUCGAUGUUCUUUUUGACAUUCUGAUCAAAAUUGUUUAAUGACGUAAUGUAAAGGAAAAAAGAGAUUUUUACAAGAAGCUUUUCUGAUGGGGUUAUUGAACAAAUCAAAAUUUUGAUGAUAUUUUAUAGAAUAUAGGAAUAUAAAAGUUGAUAGGCUGAAAUUUCAGAAAUUGAAUAAAUUGUUUAAUUGAUGUGGGUUUCUAGCAGGUUUUAUUUUUCCUAUUUCGAAACUCGGUUUGGGAUGAGAAAAUUGUUUGUCUUUACAAAAAUCUGUAUCAGUUAUUUAUUUUGAAGUAUACGAAUUCGAUUAUGUAUAUGAGUUGUGGAAAGAGGCUAACUUAUUUGAUAGUAUUUCUCUACUUUCCAUCUCAAUUCUACACAUAGGUACAAAAAAUGCUACUCCUUGCAAUUUACUUAUGGGUUGUUUGAUACUAUGGUGAAAUAUCGUAGGAUAUCUCAUGUGAUAAGAUAUCCCACGAAAUUAGUUAUGCUAUGUUUUAUAGUGUAAAAGUUAUCGCGAAUUUAGCUAAUACCUCAAAUCAAAUAUAAUAUAAAAUGAAUUCAAAAUUUUAUUCCAGAAUUAUUAUUCUUUAUCUCAUGUAUCACAUGACCCAUAAUGGGAAGUUAACAAAGCGUGUAUCUUACGGUUCCAUUAAUAAAUUUAUUAUGCAUUUAAUUUUCAAUUUUUUGGUUUUCUAACCCUCAUUCAAUGUAUAUUUCAUGAAAGCAAGCUUAGAUAGCAGCAUUAAAAUUAGAAAGCGCAAUUUUUUAAAUUUAUGUGAAGAAGAGGUGCUCCUACUAAAGGUUUUUGGUUUUUAAUAAAAAAUUUGUAUUUCAUUCAUAUAAAUUUUUUUCUCUCAAUUUACGACUAAUGAUAAUUUAAAUGUUUUUACUUGUGUAAUUAGUAACUUUAAGAUGAAUUUACAUAAUUCUAAUCUAAACUUUAGUUCUCAUUUUUCAUUAAUACUCUUUGAACUUCUUAAUUAGAUAAAACUUAAAUGAGUUAUAUUGGUAAUAUAUAGUGAACUAUACACCACAUAUAAGUAUUUAAUAUAAAUAAACAAAAUUUAUGAAUUAAACCAAAUGUAAGUUUUUUAUUAGUGUAAUGUUUAUCUAGUAAUGAGGAAAACAUAUUUAAUCCAUUAUUAGUUGCUAAUUUUUUUGUAAGUGUAUUGAUGUUGCUUAUGACUUUGUAAAUUAAUUGAUAUUGUUAAGACCGCGUGAAGUGCGAAUAAAUACUGUUAUCUUUUAUGGAUUCAAAAAGGUACUAAAAUGUGCGAAAAAGACCAACGGGAGACACGUAGGUAUGACUCACCUUUGAUUCCCCUAUAUCCUCCCUUUCAUUUUCCGUAUCUACUUUUUCUCCACCAUUAGACUUGCUGUUUGCUAGAUUUUCCCAUCAUGUUUGAGUCUUUUUCUCUUCUUCCCCUAACACAAAUCAAUUUAUUCAAAGAGAGGAAAUAGGCAUGUUCAAAAAUUACACUAUAUAAAUUAUUUAUUUAUAAUACAAUUAAAUUCAUUAUGUAGUUUAUAGACAAGCGAAUAAAUUUGAUCCGAAAAUGAUAAAUAAAUAUGACUAAAUUUAAGAUUUAGCAGUUAAAAUUAAAGAAGAUGACAAGCCUGGCUCCAAGCGCAAUGUCUCUGAAGGCAAAAGUGAAAGCAAUGAUAAAGUGCAAAUAAUUGUUUAAUUGUGAGAAAAAGUAAAAUUUUGCUUAUGUCC
This 12875-nucleotide long non-coding RNA is filed under the name Nicotiana benthamiana. RNAcentral's name for it is "long non-coding RNA (NBEN_LNC011357)". Lineage: Eukaryota; Viridiplantae; Streptophyta; Magnoliopsida; Solanales; Solanaceae. The record is from RNAcentral.